Molecule: ribosomal RNA, 495 nt
Filed under: uncultured bacterium
Lineage: Bacteria
Description: partial 16S ribosomal RNA
Rfam family: Bacterial small subunit ribosomal RNA
Source: RNAcentral
GGCGAACGCUGGCGGCGUGCCUAAUACAUGCAAGUAGAACGCUGAAGGAGGAGCUUGCUUCUCUGGAUGAGUUGCGAACGGGUGAGUAACGCGUAGGUAACCUGCCUGGUAGCGGGGGAUAACUAUUGGAAACGAUAGCUAAUACCGCAUAAUAGUAGAUGUUGCAUGACAUUUGCUUAAAAGGUGCAAUUGCAUCACUACCAGAUGGACCUGCGUUGUAUUAGCUAGUUGGUGGGGUAACGGCUCACCAAGGCGACGAUACAUAGCCGACCUGAGAGGGUGAUCGGCCACACUGGGACUGAGACACGGCCCAGACUCCUACGGGAGGCAGCAGUAGGGAAUCUUCGGCAAUGGACGGAAGUCUGACCGAGCAACGCCGCGUGAGUGAAGAAGGGUUUCGGAUCGUAAAGCUCUGUUGUAAGAGAAGAACGAGUGUGAGAGUGGAAAGUUCACACUGUGACGGUAUCUUACCAGAAAGGGACGGCUAACUACGUG